Molecule: ribosomal RNA, 301 nt
Filed under: uncultured bacterium
Lineage: Bacteria
Description: partial 16S ribosomal RNA
Rfam family: Bacterial small subunit ribosomal RNA
Source: RNAcentral
CAGCCGCCGCGGUAAUACGUAGGGUGCAAGCGUUGUCCGGAAUUAUUGGGCGUAAAGAGCUCGUAGGCGGCUCGUCGCGUCGGCUGUGAAAACCUGGGGCUCAACCCCGGGCCUGCAGCCGAUACGGGCGAGCUAGAAUUCGGUAGGGGAGACUGGAAUUCCUGGUGUAGCGGCGAAAUGCGCAGAUAUCAGGAGGAACACCGGUGGCGAAGGCGGGUCUCUGGGCCGAUAUUGACGCUGAGGAGCGAAAGCGUGGGGAGCAAACAGGAUUAGAUACCCCCGUAGUCCCUGUCUCUUAUAC